GCCUCGGUGGCCUAGCGGGUUAGGGCACCGCCUUGGUAAGGCGGAGGUCGCGGGUUCGAAGCCCGCCCGGGGCUCCA
This 77-nucleotide transfer RNA is filed under the name Thermococcus sp. RNAcentral's name for it is "tRNA-Thr". It matches the Rfam family "tRNA". Rfam says of the family: Transfer RNA (tRNA) molecules are approximately 80 nucleotides in length. Their secondary structure includes four short double-helical elements and three loops (D, anti-codon, and T loops). Further hydrogen bonds mediate the characteristic L-shaped molecular structure. tRNAs have two regions of fundamental functional importance: the anti-codon, which is responsible for specific mRNA codon recognition, and the 3' end, to which the tRNAs corresponding amino acid is attached (by aminoacyl-tRNA synthetases). tRNAs cope with the degeneracy of the genetic code in two manners: having more than one tRNA (with a specific anti-codon) for a particular amino acid; and 'wobble' base-pairing, i.e. permitting non-standard base-pairing at the 3rd anti-codon position. The record is from RNAcentral. Lineage: Archaea; Methanobacteriati; Methanobacteriota; Thermococci; Thermococcales; Thermococcaceae.